UGGGACACUCCACUCACCACAAAAUAUGGUGACAGAAAGCUUAGUGCGAGUUGUUCACCUUCCUAGCAAGGUAUCUUCAUUUGGCCAUCUAGGGUAGAAAUAUCACUUGCAUGUGAUAUGAUGCCCAAAAUUGAAAGGAAAAUCCUCCUUAAAAAGGUUGUGUCUUCAAGCCUUCUUCAUCCAAUCUAGAGGAGAGAAAAAGAAUUUCAACCAGAGAGAAAACCAGAGAGAAAACCAGAGAGAAAACCAGAGAGAAAGCAAGAGAGAAGAAAACGAUUGUGUGUGAAGCUUGUGUGAGCAAGAAUUAUGACACCUUUCCUCCUUUGAAAGAUAAAUUAUUCCCUUGGUCUUUUAUUUCAUUACCACCUUCAAUUGGUAAUUUCUUUUUUGCUUUUAGCUAACCCAAACCAAAAGCCCUGGUGCUUUAAUUAAAGCUUUUUUUUAGAAAAAAAGAGCUUCCGGACUGUACAGGUAGUAGUCGACUUCUCCUUCCUUUUUCUUCUUUCUUUUAUAUUUCUUUUUAAUUCCUAGGAUAUAGAUAAGUGUAAGCCUCUAGGAUCAUCGAAACUAAACUGCAGCAGUGGAAUUGCUCUAGAAAUCCGCAGGUUCGUUGCUAACACUAUCAGUGUUGUCCAGGUGAAUUACAGAUUGUUCUCCUUGCUUAAAAACUUAAUUUCUUGAGCCUUUGGACAGCAAUUACGAUGUAAGAAUAGUGGUAAUCUAUCAUAUGCAAAUAAUUGGUUUUCUUAAUCCAUUUAAUCAGUGAUAAUCUUUCAAAAGUUGUUCAUACUUGUUGUUUCAAGUUGAAGUAAAUGUGUGUGUUCAUGCAUAUUUUGAAGUUUAAUUUGUAAUUUGUAUGUUAAGUGACUUGUAUUUAUGUUUCAGGAUGAUUGAUGAUGUAUUAAAAUGAUUAUAUAAGGAAAUUUGGAAGGAAAACACAAAGGAUGACGGUAAGGGGCCUGCAUUUCUGCUAUCUACAUUUGUCAGGCACAAAAGUUCUAAGAAAAAGGUUAGACAAAACUCUGCCAUGUGCGAUGCACCCACGGGAUAUUUUUUAGGCACCUAAAAGCCCCGAGACUAGGUCCCUUGGCACGUUUCAUAUGCACAGCAUGUUGCAUGAAGACGUGCAACUCUACCAAGUGCUGUUGUGUGCCAAUAGAGCUCGGGACAAGCACUGUUGUGUGCGGGAUUCGUGUCUUUAUGCCCAAAAAUGACAGGACAAGGGUCCCCAUGGCAUGUUAUUCUGCACAGCAUGGCUUGUGGCCCGUGUGACUUUGCCAGCCGCUAGGCACUAAGAGAGCCAAGUGAGAUAGGCACCGCUCUAGUAUGCAAGGGUGCAACAAAAGUUCCCCUUUAUGCAGGCUGUUCUUAAGCUGCUUCACAGAUUAAAUUUUAUAAGU
RNAcentral lists this long non-coding RNA (1400 nucleotides) under Carica papaya (papaya). Its description in RNAcentral is "long non-coding RNA (CPAP_LNC007022)". The record is from RNAcentral. Lineage: Eukaryota; Viridiplantae; Streptophyta; Magnoliopsida; Brassicales; Caricaceae.